AGCUUGUCAAUGAUGUUUCUUAGUAAAAAUGUCUGAAUGUAUGAAUUCCUUAGUGACUUCAGUGCAUUACUGAAAGAAGCU
Molecule: small nucleolar RNA, 81 nt
Organism: Apus apus (common swift)
Lineage: Eukaryota; Metazoa; Chordata; Aves; Apodiformes; Apodidae
Product: small nucleolar RNA SNORD72
Exons: 1
Source: RefSeq, a predicted model, not a curated record